GACGAACGCUGGCGGCGUGCUUAACACAUGCAAGUCGAACGGAAAGGCCCUGCUUUUGUGGGGUGCUCGAGUGGCGAACGGGUGAGUAACACGUGAGUAACCUGCCCUUGACUUUGGGAUAACUUCAGGAAACUGGGGCUAAUACCGGAUAGGAGCUCCUGCUGCAUGGUGGGGGUUGGAAAGGUUCGGCGGUUGGGGAUGGACUCGCGGCUUAUCAGCUUGUUGGUGGGGUAGUGGCUUACCAAGGCUUUGACGGGUAGCCGGCCUGAGAGGGUGACCGGCCACAUUGGGACUGAGAUACGGACCAGACUCCUACGGGAGGCAGCAGUGGGGAAUAUUGCGCAAUGGGCGGAAGCCUGAUGCAGCAACGCCGCGUGCGGGAUGACGGCCUUCGGGUUGUAAACCGCUUUCGCCUGUGACGAAGCGUGAGUGACGGUAAUGGGUAAAGAAGCACCGGCUAACUACGUG
RNAcentral lists this ribosomal RNA (468 nucleotides) under uncultured bacterium. RNAcentral's name for it is "partial 16S ribosomal RNA". It matches the Rfam family "Bacterial small subunit ribosomal RNA", at positions 28 to 507 of the family's 1533-position model. The record is from RNAcentral.